CUCUCUGCAAGGUGCUGCAUGGUUGUCGUCAGCUCGUGCCGUGAGGUGUCGGGUUAAGUCCCAUAACGAGCGCAACCCUUAUCGUUAGUUGCCAGCGGGUAAUGCCGGGGACUCUAGCGAAACUGCCGGUGUAAACCGAGAGGAAGGUGGGGAUGACGUCAAAUCAGCACGGCCCUUAUGUCCAGGGCUACACACGUGUUACAAUGGCCGGUACAGAGGGCAGCUACCUGGAGACAGGAUGCGAAUCUCGAAAGCCGGUCUCAGUUCGGAUCGGAGUCUGCAACUCGACUACGUGAAGUCGGAAUCGCUAGUAAUCGUGGAUCAGAAUGUCACGGUGAAUACGUUCCCGGGUCUU
This 355-nucleotide ribosomal RNA is filed under the name uncultured Sphingobacteriales bacterium. RNAcentral's name for it is "bacterial SSU rRNA". It matches the Rfam family "Bacterial small subunit ribosomal RNA", at positions 1027 to 1382 of the family's 1533-position model. Lineage: Bacteria; Pseudomonadati; Bacteroidota; Sphingobacteriia; Sphingobacteriales. The record is from RNAcentral.